Small nuclear RNA from Suncus etruscus (white-toothed pygmy shrew), 123 nucleotides. The record is from RefSeq and is a predicted model, not a curated record. NCBI's taxonomy places the organism in Eukaryota, Metazoa, Chordata, Mammalia, Eulipotyphla, Soricidae.
GUGUUGCAUGAAAGGAGAGAAGAUUAACAUUCCCACUGACAAGGAUAGUAGGGGCUUUGGCCUGCAACAUACAUAUGGUUAAGGCACUGCCACCUACUCUGUGACAUCUAAUCAAUGUUUUAA